This 322-nucleotide unclassified non-coding RNA is filed under the name fungal sp. RNAcentral's name for it is "partial internal transcribed spacer region". The stretch from base 1 to 46 matches the Rfam family "Eukaryotic small subunit ribosomal RNA", at positions 1786 to 1831 of the family's 1831-position model. Lineage: Eukaryota; Fungi. The record is from RNAcentral.
AAGUCGUAACAAGGUUUCCGUAGGUGAACCUGCGGAAGGAUCAUUGACAAAAUCUUAUUUUAUAUAAAUCUUUGUGAAUCGAAGCGUUUAACCAUCACAUAUCUAUCUAUCUAUCUACCUACUACUUUACAACUAUAUUACUUACUACAGGUAAAAUAGUAGUCAAGUAAGAAAAAGGAGUAGUAGUAGUUAUAUAGAUAGAUAGAUAGAGAGUUGGUUACACUUCCGUUAUUAUUAUUAUUAACGUAUAUAUUUUUAAGCCUGAUUUCAUUAAAAAAAAGUAAUUUAAAAACAACUUUUAACAAUGGAUCUCUUGGCUCUU